RNAcentral lists this long non-coding RNA (1169 nucleotides) under Sus scrofa (pig). RNAcentral describes it as "lncRNA (ENSSSCG00035069367.1)". The record is from RNAcentral. Lineage: Eukaryota; Metazoa; Chordata; Mammalia; Artiodactyla; Suidae.
AUGGACAGCUGCAAGAACAAAGGAUUCCUACACCACGAAGUUUGCAACAACCAACCACACACCCCUCCCCCUUUUAGUAUGAAAGAAGCCUGAAAUCUAAUUUGUAUAGAUGGCUCUCUAAGACAUUGUCCACCCUCUUCUUGGACUCCUGGCUUUGCAAAUAUUGCCAUUCCUCAUCCUAACACCUCGUCCCUUGAUUUACUGGCCUGUUAUGGGUAAGCAGAAUGGGCUUGGACUCUUUCCAUCACAGCUUCAGAUUCUACAGCAGAGACAGAAAGAUCUAAUUUUCAAGGAUUAAAAAUGUCUGAUGCCUUGGCUAUAUGGCAGUGUUUCCCAUGGACAGAGAUGAUGUAUUCCCAACCAGAUUUGCAAAGUAUUCCAUUAACUGCCUCAUAACUGUCAUAUCUAUGGAAAAAUCUCAGCAUGCCUCAGCAUCAAGAAAGCUCUUGAUACAUACAUCACAACACAACAUUGGGAGGAAAAAAAAUAUGUAUACAUGUGUGUGUGACUUGGUCCCCAUGCUGUACAGUGGAAAAAAAAUAAAUAAAUAAAAGAAAGCUCUCAAAUGUUGAAAUACACAAAAGUCUAUUUUAGAUCUCUGUGUCUCAUCUGAGUUCUGCUUAGGUAAACCCAGUUAGAUUUAAUGAUGCUGUCAUGCAUUUGUUAUUAAGUUAUAUUAAUAUGGGUCAAUCAGACCCUUGAGAUAUGUUUGCCCCUCUAGGUUCCCUGCCUAGAUUAGAUGCCCAGGCAAUUUCUGUCUAGCUCCAAAGCCAGAGUUGUCCACAACAGCCUCUUGCCUUGAUAAUGUCACUUAUCUGGAAGUCUAAGCUUAAGAAUGAGAAACAGAAUUUGUGUGGUCCUAUCUGAUACUGAAAUCUCACCUUUGCCUGUAUCCCUGGUCUUGCCUCCUGGAUCUCCCACUUUUAAAAAAAAGUUAUGAUUUUUUAAGAUCUUCCUCUGUUCCUACUAGAAUUGUCUGGAUGGGGUAACUUCUCCGGGAAUGUGUAGGGUAAGGUAGGGAUGGGGGAGGAACUGAGGUGUCUAUAUUCAAAAAUAACAUGUUCUAGACAGAGAAGACGCAUUGUGAUCCAUCCCAAUACAAGAAUAGUACCAUAUGUAAACAUUCUUAAAUAUUUUAUGUUAUAAAUAAAAUAAGAGAAUGAUAUACA